GAUGAACGCUGGCGGCGUGCCUAAUACAUGCAAGUAGAACGCUGAAGGAGGAGCUUGCUCUUCUGGAUGAGUUGCGAACGGGUGAGUAACGCGUAGGUAACCUGCCUGGUAGCGGGGGAUAACUAUUGGAAACGAUAGCUAAUACCGCAUGACAACAGUUAUUGCAUGAUAACUGUUUAAAAGGGGCAACUGCUCCACUACCAGAUGGACCUGCGUUGUAUUAGCUAGUUGGUGAGGUAACGGCUCACCAAGGCGACGAUACAUAGCCGACCUGAGAGGGUGAUCGGCCACACUGGGACUGAGACACGGCCCAGACUCCUACGGGAGGCAGCAGUAGGGAAUCUUCGGCAAGGGACGGAAGUCUGACCGAGCAACGCCGCGGGAGUGAAGAAGGUUUUCGGAUCGUAAAGCUCUGUUGUAAGAGAAGAACGAGUGUGAGAGUGGAAAGUUCACACUGUGACGGUAUCUUACCAGAAAGGGACGGCUAACUACGUG
RNAcentral lists this ribosomal RNA (495 nucleotides) under uncultured bacterium. RNAcentral's name for it is "partial 16S ribosomal RNA". It matches the Rfam family "Bacterial small subunit ribosomal RNA", at positions 28 to 507 of the family's 1533-position model. The record is from RNAcentral.